GUCCCUGUAGCGCAAUGGAUAGCGUGUUGGACUUCUAAUGCAAAGGUCGUAGGUUCGAUUCCCACCUGGGAUG
Molecule: transfer RNA, 73 nt
Filed under: Trichonephila inaurata madagascariensis
Lineage: Eukaryota; Metazoa; Arthropoda; Arachnida; Araneae; Nephilidae
Rfam family: tRNA
About the family: Transfer RNA (tRNA) molecules are approximately 80 nucleotides in length. Their secondary structure includes four short double-helical elements and three loops (D, anti-codon, and T loops). Further hydrogen bonds mediate the characteristic L-shaped molecular structure. tRNAs have two regions of fundamental functional importance: the anti-codon, which is responsible for specific mRNA codon recognition, and the 3' end, to which the tRNAs corresponding amino acid is attached (by aminoacyl-tRNA synthetases). tRNAs cope with the degeneracy of the genetic code in two manners: having more than one tRNA (with a specific anti-codon) for a particular amino acid; and 'wobble' base-pairing, i.e. permitting non-standard base-pairing at the 3rd anti-codon position.
Source: Rfam by way of RNAcentral